This 369-nucleotide long non-coding RNA is filed under the name Mus spicilegus (steppe mouse). RNAcentral's name for it is "lncRNA (ENSMSIG00000019967.1)". The record is from RNAcentral. Lineage: Eukaryota; Metazoa; Chordata; Mammalia; Rodentia; Muridae.
CUAAAGGUUAAAGAGCAUCAGCUUCCCAAGUAACCAGGAAGUAACCAGCAAGUGACCAGCAUCCUUAAUGUUUCGAAGAAACACUCAUUCCCUAGUUUCCUUCAGACCUGAGGAGGGCCAUGAGGAUGUUAGCCGUAACCCACAUCCUAGAGAAGCAUACUGUGUGCUCUCUAGGUGGGGUCACCCGCAUUCUACCGUGAAAGGAGCCUUGUUUCCCCUUCAGACUUCUUAGUCUGCUUUCCACCACCAGCAGUAAAACCCAAUGCCAGAGCUGGGCAGAUGUAUAUGUGGACUUGCUGAUGUCACUUUGCUGUGUUCUGUACUGGGAGGAACGGAGUAAGGCUUCUGUCACAUAGAAUUUUACCAGAA